AACGCACCUUGCGCUCCUUGGUAUUCCGAGGAGCAUGCCUGUUUGAGUGUCAUGUAAUCAUCAACUUCUACUUCCUUUUUUGGAAGUGUUAGUUGGAUUUGGAGGCUUUGUUGGCUUUCGCGAGUCGACUCCUCUUGAAUGCAUUAGUCGGUACUUCAUGGUCGCAGUACGCGGUGUGAUAAUUUAUUCACCCAUCGUUCUUGCGUUCCAGCUGGCUUAUAACACGCUUUAAUGCACCUUUGACAAUCUGGCCUCAAAUCAGGUAGGACUACCCGCUGAACUUAA
RNAcentral lists this unclassified non-coding RNA (285 nucleotides) under uncultured fungus. RNAcentral describes it as "partial contains 5.8S ribosomal RNA, internal transcribed spacer 2, and large subunit ribosomal RNA". The stretch from base 1 to 52 matches the Rfam family "5.8S ribosomal RNA", at positions 103 to 154 of the family's 154-position model. Lineage: Eukaryota; Fungi. The record is from RNAcentral.